RNAcentral lists this ribosomal RNA (1251 nucleotides) under uncultured bacterium. Its description in RNAcentral is "bacterial SSU rRNA". It matches the Rfam family "Bacterial small subunit ribosomal RNA", at positions 161 to 1401 of the family's 1533-position model. The record is from RNAcentral.
GAUUAAUACCGCAUAAGACCACGUCUGGGCAUCCAGGAGGGGUAAAAUAUUUAUAGGUGGCGGCUGGGCAUGCGUGACAUUAGCUAGUUGGCGGGGCAACGGCCCACCUAGUCUACGAUGUCUAGGGGAACUGAGAGGUCGAUCCCCCACACUGGUACUGAGACACGGACCAGACUCCUACGGGAGGCAGCAGUGAGGAAUAUUGGUCAAUGGAGGAAACUCUGAACCAGCCAUCUCGCGUGAAGGACUACGGCCCUACGGGUCUUAAACUUCUUUUAUAGGGGGAUAAAGUCGCAUACGUGUAUGUGAUUGCAGGUACCCUAUGAAUAAGCAUCGGCUAACUCCGUGCCAGCAGCCGCGGUAAUACGGAGGAUGCGAGCGUUAUCCGGAUUUAUUGGGUUUAAAGGGUGCGCAGGCGGCGCGUUAAGUCAGCGGUGAAAUGUCGGGGCUCAACCCCGGCACUGCCGUUGAAACUGGCGUGCUCGAGUACGGAUGAAGCGGGCGGAAUGUGAUGUGUAGCGGUGAAAUGCUUAGAUAUGUCACAGAACACCGAUUGCGAAGGCAGCUCGCUAAUCCGCAACUGACGCUCAUGCACGAAAGCGUGGGGAUCGAACAGGAUUAGAUACCCUGGUAGUCCACGCAGUAAACGAUGAAGGCUUAGUUUUUGGGCGAAUUUCAAGUCAGUGGCCCAAGGGAAACCGAUUAAGCCUUCCCACCUGGGGAGGUACGCCCGCCACCGGUGAAAACUCAAAAGGAAUUGACGGGGGCCCCGCACAAGUAGCGGAGCAUGGGGUUUAAUUCGAAGCAACGCNGAAGAACCCUUACCAGAACUUGACAUCGAGUGAAGGGUUUUGUAAUGAAACCCGUCCCCUCGGGGACACGAAGACAGGUGUUGCAUGGUUGUCGUCAGCUCGUGUCGUGAGAUGUUAGGUUAAGUCCUGCAACGAGCGCAACCCUCGUGUACAGUUGCCAACAUUAAGUUAGGAACUCUGUACAGACCGCCGUGGUUAACACGGAGGAAGGUGGGGAUGACGUCAAAUCAUCACGGCCCUUACGUUCUGGGCCACACCCGUGCUACAAUGGCUAUUACAAAGAGCAGCGAAGCGGUAACGCGGAGCGAAUCUCAUAAAGAUAGUCUCAGUUCAGAUUGUGGGCUGCAACUCGCCCACAUGAAGUAGGAGUUGCUAGUAAUCCCGAAUCAGAAUGUCGGGGUGAAUGCGUUCCCGGGUCUUGCACUCACCGCCCGUCAAG